Molecule: unclassified non-coding RNA, 329 nt
Filed under: soil metagenome
Description: partial contains 5.8S ribosomal RNA, internal transcribed spacer 2, and large subunit ribosomal RNA
Rfam family: 5.8S ribosomal RNA (bases 1-120)
Source: RNAcentral
GAUGAAGAACGUAGCGAAAUGCGAUAAGUAGUGUGAAUUGCAGAAUUCAGUGAAUCAUCGAAUCUUUGAACGCACAUUGCGCCCCUUGGUAUCCCGAGGGGCAUGCCUGUUCGAGCGUCAUUUCACCACUCAAGCCUGGCUUGGUGUUGGGCGACGUCCCCUUUGGGGACGCGCCUCGAAACGCUCGGCGGCGUGGCACCGGCUUUAAGCUUAGCAGAAUCUUUCGCUUUGGAAGUCGGGGCCCCGUCUGCCGGAAGACCUACUCGCAAGGUUGACCUCGGAUCAGGCAGGGAUACCCGCUGAACUUAAGCAUAUCAAUAAGCGGAGGA